GUGGGGAAUAUUGGACAAUGGACGCAAGCCUGAUCCAGCCAUGCCGCGUGAGUGAUGAAGGCCUUAGGGUUGUAAAGCUCUUUUGUCCGGGAAGAUAAUGACUGUACCGGAAGAAUAAGCCCCGGCUAACUUCGUGCCAGCAGCCGCGGUAAUACGAAGGGGGCUAGCGUUGCUCGGAAUCACUGGGCGUAAAGGGCGCGUAGGCGGACUCUUAAGUCGGGGGUGAAAGCCCAGGGCUCAACCCUGGAAUAGCCUUCGAUACUGAGAGUCUUGAGUUCGGAAGAGGUUGGUGGAAUUGCGAGUGUAGAGGUGAAAUUCGUAGAUAUUCGCAAGAACACCAGUGGCGAAGGCGGCCAACUGGUCCGAUACUGACGCUGAGGCGCGAAAGCGUGGGGAGCAAACAGGAUUAGAAACCCUAGUAGUCC
This 425-nucleotide ribosomal RNA is filed under the name uncultured bacterium. RNAcentral's name for it is "partial 16S ribosomal RNA". It matches the Rfam family "Bacterial small subunit ribosomal RNA", at positions 354 to 796 of the family's 1533-position model. The record is from RNAcentral.